AACGAACGCUGGCGGCGUGCCUAACACAUGCAAGUCGAACGAGAACGUCCGGUUUAGGGGCCCACGGGUGCGUACGGCGUGGGAACCUGCCCGUAGGUUCGCUAUAACUCCCCGAAAGGGGUGCUAAUACCGGACAAUGUCUUCGGACCAAAGAUUUAUCGCUUUUGGAUGGGCCCGCGUUGGAUUAGCUAGUGGGUAGGGUAAAAGCCUACCAAGGCGAGGUUCCAUAGCUGGUCGGGGAGGAUGACCAGCAGCACUGGGACUGAGACACGGCCCAGACUCGUAGGGGAGGGAGGAGUAGGGAAUAUUGGGCGAGGGGCGAAAGCCUGAUACAGCCGUGCCGGGGAAGUGGGGAAGGGGUUAGGAUUGUAAAGCUGUUUGGGCCGGGAUGUGAAUGACAGUACCGGGAGAAUAAGCGCCGGCUAACUCCGUG
This 433-nucleotide ribosomal RNA is filed under the name uncultured bacterium. RNAcentral's name for it is "partial 16S ribosomal RNA". It matches the Rfam family "Bacterial small subunit ribosomal RNA", at positions 29 to 507 of the family's 1533-position model. The record is from RNAcentral.